AUUGAACGCUGGCAGCGUGCCUAACGCAUGCAAGUCGAGCGGCAGCGGAAAGUAGCUUGCUACUUUGCCGGCGAGCGGCGGACGGGUGAGUAAUGUCUGGGAAACUGCCUGAUGGCGGGGGAUAACUACUGGAAACGGUAGCUAAUACCGCAUAACGUCGCAAGACCAACGAGGGGGACCUUCGGGCCUCUUGCCAUCAGAUGUGCCCAGAUGGGAUUAGCUAGUAGGUGGGGUAACGGCGCACCUAGGCGACGAUCCCUAGCUGGUCUGAGAGGAUGACCAGCCACACUGGAACUGAGACACGGUCCAGACUCCUACGGGAGGCAGCAGUGGGGAAUAUUGCACAAUGGGCGCAAGCCUGAUGCAGCCAUGCCGCGUGUAUGAAGAAGGCCUUCGGGUUGUAAAGUACUUUCAGCGGGGAGGAAGGCGUUGAGGUUAAUAACCUCAGCGAUUGACGUUACCCGCAGAAGAAGCACCGGCUAACUCCGUGCCAGCCGCCGCCGUAA
RNAcentral lists this ribosomal RNA (506 nucleotides) under uncultured bacterium. Its description in RNAcentral is "partial 16S ribosomal RNA". It matches the Rfam family "Bacterial small subunit ribosomal RNA", at positions 30 to 523 of the family's 1533-position model. The record is from RNAcentral.